UACAGAGGGUGCAAGCGUUAAUCGGAAUUACUGGGCGUAAAGCGUGCGUAGACGGUUACAUAAGUCGGGUGUGAAAGCCCCGGGCUCAACCUGGGAAUUGCAUUCGAGACUGCGUAGCUAGGGUGCGGAAGAGGGAAGCGGAAUUUCCGGUGUAGCGGUGAAAUGCGUAGAUAUCGGAAGGAACACCAGUGGCGAAAGCGGCUUCCUGGUCCAGCACCGACGUCAGGCACGAAAGCGUGGGGAGCAAACAGGG
RNAcentral lists this ribosomal RNA (253 nucleotides) under uncultured bacterium. RNAcentral describes it as "partial 16S ribosomal RNA". It matches the Rfam family "Bacterial small subunit ribosomal RNA", at positions 524 to 777 of the family's 1533-position model. The record is from RNAcentral.